This 61-nucleotide microRNA precursor is filed under the name Caenorhabditis elegans. RNAcentral describes it as "Cel-Mir-54-P2_pre stem-loop". It matches the Rfam family "mir-55 microRNA precursor family", at positions 9 to 69 of the family's 74-position model. The record is from RNAcentral. Lineage: Eukaryota; Metazoa; Nematoda; Chromadorea; Rhabditida; Rhabditidae.
CGGCAGAAACCUAUCGGUUAUACUUUUUGGAUAUGCUAUACCCGUAUAAGUUUCUGCUGAG